GAGGGUGAGCUCAAUUUUGAAUCUGGCGGUCUUUAUGGCCGUCCGAGUUGUAAUCUAGAGAAGCGUUUUCCGCGCUGGCCCGUGUACAAGUCUCCUGGAAAGGAGCGUCCUAGAGGGUGAGAAUCCCGUCUUUGACACGGUCCACCAGUGCUAUGUGAUGCGCUCUCGACGAGUCGAGUUGUUUGGGAAUGCAGCUCAAAACGGGUGGUAAAUUCCAUCUAAAGCUAAAUACAGGCGAGAGACCGAUAGCGAACAAGUACCGUGAGGGAAAGAUGAAAAGAACUUUGGAAAGAGAGUUAAACCGUACGUGAAAUUGCUGAAAGGGAAACGCUUGAUGUCAGUCGCGUCGGCCGGGGAUCAACCUUGCUUCACUGCUCGGCGUAAUUCCUGGUCGACGGGUCAGCAUCGGUUUCGGUCGCCGUACAAGGGCGAGGGGAACGUGGCACUCUUCGGAGUGUGUUAUAGCCCUUCGUCGUAUGCGGUGGUCGGGACCGAGGAACUCAGCACGGCUUCGGUCGGUGCUUUAGGAUGCUGGCAUAAUGGCCUUAACGACCGCU
Molecule: ribosomal RNA, 557 nt
Filed under: Xerocomellus dryophilus
Lineage: Eukaryota; Fungi; Basidiomycota; Agaricomycetes; Boletales; Boletaceae
Description: eukaryotic LSU rRNA
Rfam family: Eukaryotic large subunit ribosomal RNA
Source: RNAcentral